CGUGUAGGCGGCUCGGAAAGUCGGGUGUGAAAGCCCUGGGCUCAACCCAGGAAGUGCAUUCGAAACUCCCGAGCUGGAGUUCUGGAGAGGAAGGCGGAAUUCUCGGUGUAGAGGUGAAAUUCGUAGAUAUCGAGAGGAACACCGGUGGCGAAGGCGGCCUUCUGGACAGCAACUGACGCUGAGACGCGAAAGCGUGGGGAGCAAACA
This 207-nucleotide ribosomal RNA is filed under the name uncultured delta proteobacterium. Its description in RNAcentral is "partial 16S ribosomal RNA". It matches the Rfam family "Bacterial small subunit ribosomal RNA", at positions 568 to 774 of the family's 1533-position model. The record is from RNAcentral. Lineage: Bacteria; Deltaproteobacteria.